Molecule: ribosomal RNA, 500 nt
Filed under: uncultured bacterium
Lineage: Bacteria
Description: bacterial SSU rRNA
Rfam family: Bacterial small subunit ribosomal RNA
Source: RNAcentral
UCAACGCUGGCGGCGUGCCUAACACAUGCAAGUCGAGCGCGAAAGGGAGCUUCGGUUCCUGAGUAGAGCGGCGGACGGGUGAGUAACACGUGGGUAACCUGCCUUCGGGUGGGGAAUAACCUCGGGAAACCGGGGCUAAUUCCGCAUAACAUUUCGGGCUCAUAAGAGUCUGUAAUCAAAGCUGGGGAUCCUUCGGGACCUGGCGCCUGAAGAGGGGCCCGCGGCCGAUUAGCUUGUUGGUGAGGUAAUGGCUCACCAAGGCUCCGAUCGGUAGCCGGCCUGAGAGGGCGGACGGCCACACUGGGACUGAGACACGGCCCAGACUCCUACGGGAGGCAGCAGUGGGGAAUUUUUGUCAAUGGGGGAAACCCUGAACAAGCAACGCCGCGUGGAGGAUGAAGGUCUUCGGGUCGUAAACUCCUGUCGGAGGGGACGAAAGCGGUUGGGGUUAAUACCCUCAGUCGUUGACGGUACCCUAUGAGGAAGCCCCGGCUAACUCC